GACGAACGCUGGCGGCGUGCUUAACACAUGCAAGUCGAACGGAAAGGCCCUGCUUUUGUGGGGUGCUCGAGUGGCGAACGGGUGAGUAACACGUGAGUAACCUGCCCUUGACUUUGGGAUAACUUCAGGAAACUGGGGCUAAUACCGGAUAGGAGCUCCUGCUGCAUGGUGGGGGUUGGAAAGUUUCGGCGGUUGGGGAUGGACUCGCGGCUUAUCAGCUUGUUGGUGGGGUAGUGGCUUACCAAGGCUUUGACGGGUAGCCGGCCUGAGAGGGUGACCGGCCACAUUGGGACUGAGAGACGGCCCAGACUCCUACGGGAGGCAGUAGUGGGGAAUAUUGCACAAUGGGCGGAAGCCUGAUGCAGCAACGCCGCGUGCGGGAUGACGGCCUUCGGGUUGUAAACCGCUUUCGCCUGUGACGAAGCGUGAGUGACGGUAAUGGGUAAAGAAGCACCGGCUAACUACGUG
This 468-nucleotide ribosomal RNA is filed under the name uncultured bacterium. RNAcentral describes it as "partial 16S ribosomal RNA". It matches the Rfam family "Bacterial small subunit ribosomal RNA", at positions 28 to 507 of the family's 1533-position model. The record is from RNAcentral.